RNAcentral lists this non-coding RNA (21 nucleotides) under Caenorhabditis elegans. Lineage: Eukaryota; Metazoa; Nematoda; Chromadorea; Rhabditida; Rhabditidae. The record is from RNAcentral.
UACAUGGCAAAAUCAAUAUUG